CAAUAGCGUAUAUUAAAGUUGUUGCGGUUAAAAGCUCGUAGUUGGAUUUCUGCCGAGGACGACCGGUCCGCCCUCUGGGUGAGUAUCUGGUUCGGCCUGGGCAUCUUCUUGGAGAACGUAUCUGCACUUGACUGUGUGGUGCGGUAUCCAGGACUUUUACUUUGAGGAAAUUAGAGUGUUUCAAGCAGGCACACGCCUUGAAUACAUUAGCAUGGAAUAAUAAGAUAGGACCUUGGUUCUAUUUUGUUGGUUUCUAGAGCUGAGGUAAUGAUUAAUAGGGAUAGUUGGGGGUAUUCAUAUUCAAUUGUCAGAGGUGAAAUUCUUGGAUUUAUGGAAGAUGAACUACUGCGAAAGCAUUUACCAAGGAUGUUUUCAUUAAUCAAGAACGAAAGUUAGGGGAUCGAAGACGAUCAGAUACCGU
RNAcentral lists this ribosomal RNA (421 nucleotides) under uncultured eukaryote. RNAcentral's name for it is "SSU rRNA". It matches the Rfam family "Eukaryotic small subunit ribosomal RNA", at positions 592 to 1018 of the family's 1831-position model. The record is from RNAcentral.